RNAcentral lists this ribosomal RNA (207 nucleotides) under uncultured bacterium. Its description in RNAcentral is "partial 16S ribosomal RNA". It matches the Rfam family "Bacterial small subunit ribosomal RNA", at positions 568 to 774 of the family's 1533-position model. The record is from RNAcentral.
CUCGUAGGCGGCUUAGCAAGUCGGGUGUAAAACCUCCAGGCUCAACCUGGAGAGGCCACCCGAUACUGCUAUGGCUAGAGUCCGGUAGGGGACCACGGAAUUCCUGUGUAGCGGUGAAAUGCGCAGAUAUCAGGAGGAACACCGGUGGCGAAGGCGGUGGUCUGGGCCGGUACUGACGCUGAGGAGCGAAAGCGUGGGGAGCGAACA